Molecule: long non-coding RNA, 26033 nt
Filed under: Manihot esculenta (cassava)
Lineage: Eukaryota; Viridiplantae; Streptophyta; Magnoliopsida; Malpighiales; Euphorbiaceae
Description: long non-coding RNA (MESC_LNC000578)
Source: RNAcentral
AACAAGCCAUCAAACUCCAGGAAAUUAAAUCCUCAUACAAGGAUUUUGAUUACCUAUGGCUGUUUUAUUUACAGCAGCAAGCCGACAACUAUUUUACAUAUUCAUUAACAAACCCUUUUGCAUCCUUUUUUUUUUUUGGGGAUUUAUUAAAAACAUCAAGUACAGGCUUUGCUAGGUCCAUGUCCAUGCUGCUUUCUCAUUUGCAGUUGCAUGGAUCACAGCUGCAGCUUGAUCCACACUUGCACCCAUUUCCACUCUCAGCACCAAAGUUCAACUCAGUACCCUCAUAGGACCUGCAAAAACCACACCAGCUCUCAAUUUUUUGUACAAUCAAGAAUCUAACUUCGAUUUGGCUGCGUAAAUAGAAUUUCUCCGAACUUGAUUAGGGUCUCAAAUUCAAACUCAAAAUGAUUGUGAUUCUUACAUCUUAGGAGGUGCAACUCCUGCGAUGAGAGUCUCAGUUCUGGUGUUCUCUGAGAUGUCAGGGUACAUGCCACAGCUGCAAGAAUUCAAGAAGAUGAGGGAAGAAAGAUUAAAGAGAAACUCUUAGGAAGUUUGUUUGGUGCAUGAGAAACAAUUUUCCAAGAAAAAGAAACUCUUACCCGUUGCAGCCGCUGCCGCACUUGCAUCCAGAGCCACAGCCACAGUUUCCUCCGCAGCAAGACAUUUUCUUUAGGGAUUUGGAAGAGGCUUAUCACUUGACAAUUGAAUUCUUCAACUAUAGGAUGAUUCAUAAGGCCCUUGCCUCAGCUCGAAUUUAUCGCGCGGUUGGAGCUGAAAGUCUUUCAUAUCCACCAUACACGUGGAAACAUCUAACGUCAGUAACGUCUGUGUGGCAGGUUCUAUCUCCCCUAGGUAAGAACCGACAAAUCUCUCUCUCUUUGUCUCUCUAACCUUUCUUUCUUUGUCAUCACAAAUCAUAAUAUUUGAAAUAUAUUAAUUAUCUUGCUUAUGACGUGUACGAUAAUUGGUUAGUUUUUUUAUUAAAUCAAUUAAUUGGCUUCUUCUAAACAAAAUCUUAACACCUCUAGUGUUUGAACAAAAUAAAAAAAAUGAUUUCUUUUAUAAUUUUUAAUUUAUAUUAAUAUGCUUGGUAACCCUUCAAAUUGAAUAGAUAAUAUAAUUAAACCGAAUCGAACAUUUAGAAAUAAAAUUAACAACAAAUAGAAAUUAAUUUAGGGUCAAGGAAUUAAUGCUUACUAAAAAAGAAGUAUUACUUGUUUUAAAAAAAAAAGGGUAUUAUUUUUUUCCAGUAGACAAAGUUGUCUGAAUCACAGAGAAAAGGAUGCAAUUAUUUUCUACAAGGAUUAUUAUCACUUUCAUGGAAGAAAUCAAGAGAACAAGUUAAAUUGAAGCCGACAAUUAGAAUAUAUUAUUAUUUUUGGUAACGUAGAACCAUUUUAAAAAUAAGUAAAUACUUUUUCAAUUGAAAUAAGAAAAAAAUAAAAAUAUGUAUGAAGGAUGUAAACGUCAGCUAGAUAUUAAGGCAUGAAUCUUGCAGCUUUGUACAUUAGCAAUUCACUCGCUUGAAUGUAUCAUUUCAUCUUUAACAUUGGCUUUUUAUAAUUCUGGGAUAUAGAUCCUUUUUUUUAAAUUAAAUAUAAAGAAUGCAAAUUAUUACCUUUUUUUUCUAGUUAAUCAUGUUAUGUUGUUUUUAUUUAUUUGAAUGUAAUGAAAAGCAUGCAGUUCUAAACUAGAAUGAAACAAUAGAAUUUUUGACAAGGAAAGUGGGAGAGAGUUACCCUACCCUACUGCUACAAAGAAAGAAGGAUAAAAUCAUAAUGAAAUGGGCAGAGAAUAAGAGGCUUUUGCUUUGGGAAUCCUUCACUUUUGUAGCAAAAAGAGUGGUGCAUGUGAUAUAGCUUUGGUGCUUCAGUUGCAGUGCUAUUUUCUUCAAUCAGAUACCCUGUCUUUAUAUCUAUGUCUAUGUAUAUAUUUUUUUACAAAAAAACUGCCUUUUUCUUCCCAAGCCCAAUGCACUUUUCUUAUCUUCUUUUAUUUGUUUAACAUUUAGGACCUUCAGUUCCUUUUCAGAAGAUCUGUUUCGGCAUUUUGCGACUUGUGCAUGCUGCAGCUGCGGGGGUCCUAAAUGUCUUAAAUGAGCUAAAGACAUGCUUAGAAGCUAAAACUACAACUAUUAGUAGAGCUACAGCCUAAUUUUCAUGGACAGUACACAACUCCACUUUGGUGGGCAUUGAAUUUCCUGUAUCCUUUGAAUGUGUGAAUUCUUCUCUUCCUAACUUCAACAUCUUGUCUACCUUCCUUUUUUUUUCCCUCGUCAAUGAGGGGAUUAUUUUAUUUACUAGCUAUUUAUUGCGUGUUCCCACUAGCUUCAUAAUUCAUCAUUAUUUUGAUCCUCAAAUUCAAAAAGUACCUGUAUUGAAGUAUGAAGAUAGAAGAUAGGAUCUUCCAUAUCUGGGUACAAGCUCCAUCGUUUAGAUAAGGGACUCAUGACAAAACCCACUAUUGUUGAUUUUUCUGCCGCAUUUGUUUUAUGCAAUUCACAUGCAUCAUGCAUGCCCAUCUGAUUUUGGACCACAUACCAGGACAAAAAGAAGUGCAUGAUAGGAAUAGUAGCUCAAGAGAGCUGCCACCAUUGAAUUGGGUCUUUACUCUCACCCAUGGGAAUAUUUAUGAAUGACCUACAUAUAAUGAUUGUGACGAGAGAGGGAGUUUAUCUUUAAAAUAGGACCAUGAUAGUCAACAAAAUAGUGAAUGAGCUUCAUGCUUGAGGUCCUAAGGUAUUAAAAUCCCACUGAUUUUUUUUUUCUAAGACAUUUGAAUCCCAUUUCAUGCAUUAGUGGGGCAUUCUAUCUACUGUCAGGUCUGAUGCUGCUGAGAAGGUUUGGCCGGUAAGAAGCUUAAGAUUAGAUAGAUGUUAUGCUGACGUGCAUAUCAGAUUUCCAUGAUUGAGAUGCGGGAAAUGGGUUGAAAGGACACAGGACUCAAAUGCGGACAACCGGUGGUAGUAGGUAACUCCAACAAGAUUGAUCUCAAUUAGAUAUUAUGGGGCCAGCAGUUAAAUAAAUCAUACAAAGAAACAUGUCAGUUACAUCUGAAAUUUCUAAAAUUCUUGACAAGGAGCACCCAUUGCCGAGGCACCUUCAAUAGCCAACUGCUUGUCCUGCAAUUCCUGCACAAGCUUAGUUUUCAAGGUGCCCCAGGUGCCAUAUGAAACUCGAUAUGCUGGGCAUAAAUUUUUUGUAAAACCUAUCAUAAACAGAACUAGUAUUCCUAUCAAAUUUGUCAUGAACAGUCGAUUUUAACUAAACCAAGUCUCUGCAAUUUCACACUAUCCAUAAGCAUCCUAAGACCAGCUUUUAGUUCUGGUACCCCUUCCUCCAAGACGGCACAAACUGGAUAUAUAGGAACAUCUUGAACUCUUCUUUUCAAUUCUUCAUAUACUUCAUCAGCCCCUGCCUCAUCAAUUUUAUUCGCCACAACUAAGGAGGGCCGAUCAGACAGGCCCUCUUGAUGAUGCUCAAGCUCCAAAACUAAAUCUUUCAAUUGUUCCCACGGUGGAAAUCCCUUUCUGCCAUCUAAUCCAGCAGCCAAGUCUAGCACAUAAGCUAAAACCUUAGUACGUUCAAUGUGCCGUAGGAAAGCAUGUCCAAGUCCACGAUUCUCGUGAGCACCUUUUAUGAGUCCUGGAAUGUCAGCCACUGUGAUUGAGAAGUCAUCAAAAUUCAGUUUUCCUAAAUUUGGCCUAAGUGUCGUGAAGGCAUAAUGACCCACCCUAGGUUUUGCUCUGGAUAAAGCUCCUAAAAGAGUACUUUUACCAGCAUUUGGCAUUCCAACGAGGCCCACAUCAGCAAUGCUUUUCAGUUCCAGCAAAAGAACAGCCUCUGAGCCAGGCAACCCAAUGCUAAGGCAGGAUUGAUCCUCACUGACAUAUCAGGAUCCAAGACCAUAUCCCUAUUGACUCCAGGCUUACUUAACUUGGCCUUCUUUGAAACAUCAGGAGAAGACACAUUACCCAAACCACCCUCCCCUCCACGAGCAACAAUUAUUUGCUGACCCAGUUUUGUUAACUCUGCAACAUCAUAGUGUAUAUGUUCCACACCUGCUGGCUCUCUUUGAAUGGCUUGUAUGCUUGCAAAUUCCUCUGAAGUUCCUUUAGCUUGUGUUAAUGAGCCACCAGAAAUAUCCGAUGGCUCAGCUUCUUUUUCCAUGUUUGUGCUCUUAGAGACAGACUGCCAGUGAGAUUCUGAUUGAUCAGUAUGGAGAGUGCCUGGAAGUUCCCACGGGUCCAAGUCUGUUUUGGAACAGUUUUGGACUGUAGAUGGAAGUUCACCCUUCAAAAGAUGAAUUACAGUCCCGAUAGGUACUUGCACAACCUACUACACACGAGUACUCAUGGUUAGAUAAACUGCCAAACAACAGGUGGCAUCAUAAAAUCUUGCCGUUUAUAGAACUUAUAAAUAGUAACCUUAUCCUCCCCUCGAGUUCCUAUCAUACUCUUUGAAGCUCCAUUCCCCCCUCUCGCUGCAUUCUAUACAAUAAAGGCAGAACUUGAGUGUCCUCAUGCAAUAAUACUAGUAGAGUUGAAAAAAUACUGGAAAGGUAAGGACUACAUACAACAUGAUGGUGUAAACCACUCAAGUCCCAGAUUGCAGGGGAACACUCUAAAAUCACAUCACCACCUCUUCCACCUGUAUUAUUGAAUCCACAUGAACCAGAAUGCUACCAGAAAGACUAUUUCACAAAUUUUAAUGCACUUGCUCGUAAACACCAUGCAAUAAUCAGCUAAAUUUAUGAAGUUCAACGGAAAUAAUGACGAUGAAAGGGAAAAAAUUGAACCCAGUAUGAAGAUUGAGAAACUAGAUAAAUUAUGAUUAAAGAAAAAUAACCAUAAUAAUAUUGUAUCCACUUGGUUUUUAGUAUCACAUCUAGCAUACUUAAUGCUGUUAUAAAACUUGAUCUAAUAAACAUACCAUCAGGUCUGCCGGGGAUCAUGUUGACUUCGGCGAAAACUGGAGCAACCCUUUCCACCAUCACCUCCCUUAGCAUGUAGUGUAAACCUAUCUCUCAUUCUGGUUUCCUACAAAUAGCACCCUAAUAACCCUUUACUAAGAUGAACAAGUAGUAAAAAAAUCAAGAAAUGAUUACACAGAAUUAUGUGAAGCUAUUAGGGUUAUAAAAAUGUGAGAAAUAGGGAAGAAACAAAUAGAUUGGCAGACCUGCAAAGGGGCACACUUUGCUUUUGUGUGAGUAGCGUCUGAACAAGAGAACAAAGACAAAUAGAUCCAUGGAGAUUUAGAAGAUUUUCUCAAGGCAUCUAUGUGGCAAAAGGAUUUUGCGCAGCGUAACCGCAUAACUCUCUUUUUCCUGUCUAGAUAUCCUUCAAAUCCUCCUCAAAUGGAAAAAGUUCGCAUUCAAUUUUUUGCUUAUCUCUGCAACCUAUAGAAAGAAAUAUCUUAGAUACUGAUACAGCAACAGAGACAUUCCUGGAAAAUUGUAAACCAAACCAUGCCACAAUGCAGAUGCUGAACAUGACCCAUACAAGAUAACUAAAGAAAUUGAUAUUUACAGCACUUCACAGCCAGUUCCAACGAAAAGAAUCCGCCUUCCUUUAUUAUAACAUGUCCAGAUAAUCAUAAAAACAAAAUAAGUAUCACUUUUAACAAUCACAUUUACCAAAAUUUGCUAAAUUGUCAGUUGCAAGCAAAGUAAAAGCUUUAUUAAGCCCAACAACUUGUGCCAUAAACAGACCAACAACUGAAACAAUAUGCUAGAAAGGAAUUUGAGAUAACCAAAUAAAAGAUGAAAUAUUCAGGAAUGAGCACAUACAGGCAUCUAAAGGAAACAGACAUUCAAAACAUUCAUCAAAUCAAUAAUCAACAAGAAAAUUGAAUUUUAACAACAAAGAGAGUGGAGAAGGCUAAUAUGGUGUAUUUAACACAAAAUGAAAGAAACUAAAAGACCAAAUUGAUUGAACUUAUAUUCAUCUAAGACCCUUGAAUAAAACUUUCUUUCAGUUUACGGAAAAAAAAAAUUGUUUAGUGAUAAUGAAAACUAAUGGAGUCAAAGGAAAAUGUCCAUUGUUAAAAGAAUUGAACCCAUUCAUAGGAUUCCUCACCAGGCCUUGCAAGGAGUCUCCUUGGCCAUGGUUCUAACAUUAAUGACCAUUCUAAUGCCACCAAUGAGCUUUGGUUUGAUAUUAGGGUCAUCAGCUUGAACCAUUAAAAAAAAGGAACAAAGAAAUAACCAUUCUAAUGUUGUAGGGGGCCAGGGAUUUUAUGGUUACUGUUAGGAUCCCGUGUAGGAUGUAGUUGUGGGUUGUGUGACGAGUCUUUUGGCAAGAUAGGAGAAAACAAGGAUGGAUUUUCUUUUUGCGAUCUAUUUUGAAAAGCUGUCAGGCUUAUCAGGGAGAACAUGCAACCUCUUGAGUUUAAAGUACUCAAAGACCUUUUUGAAAUUUUUUUAGCUAACGUUUAUUAACCUGCUGUCAAUUUAAAUACAAGUUGGAGUUUUAACUCUCUCCUAAAAAAUAAGAACUUAAAAUAGCAUAAUAGAAGCUAACCUCGUACAAAUCAGAAUUUGAAAAUAACUAAAAAAAAUAUGGAAAUAACUAAAUAACUAAACAAAAUAUGCUGGUAACAUCAUAAGACCCAUGAUCUUAGCCACUAUCCAUUACUAUGCAUAAACUCAUAAUCUAUGCCACUAUCCAUUGUUGAAUAACUAUCCAUUAUUGCAUCAAUGACGAAGAAUCUAUUGGAAUGGUGGUUUGCUAACAUUAGUCCCCUCUUCCACUAUGCACUUGUCUUCAAGCGCAAGCUUAGGAAAUUUCUAGGAACUAUUUAGCCAGUGGCUGGUCUAUUGUGACAUCUCCUGGGUCAUCAUCUGCUAACUCCAACUAACUCCAACCAGAAUAGUUUUUUGCACCAGUUUUUGAAAUAUUCCCAUGUCAAGUUCGGAUAGUCUUGUAACAAUUGUAGGAACUAUAGUUGUGUUAUACCCUCCAAGUGAAAUGAAGCUAGAUUAACCUUCUUCUCUUUUGAAGUUUGUUAAUGUUGGAAAAAUUGAUCAUAUCUGUUGAGCCACCCUAAAGGAUCCUCCCGUCCAUUGAAACGGGUAAAUUUUGAAACAAUGGUACUUCUACUUGAAUUUUCAGAACCUAUUACUCCUUUGGCCUUUUGGGUGCGAGAGUGACUACCAAUUUUUGUGAGUUGUGCUGAAUUGACGAUAUCACAAGUGAGAGCUUCUAAUUUUUAAUUUAAUUCAUCAUGCCAGGCCUUAUUGGCGGCUUGCUCUUCUAAGAACAAGGUGAGAAUUCUGCCAAAUUGUUGCUGGAUAGAAUCCCCAUAAUCUCUAGCUCUGAUACCAAAUUGUUAGGAUCCCGUGUGUAGAAUCUAGUUAUAGGUUUGUAUAAUGAGUCUUUUAGCAAGAUAGGAGAAAGCAAGGAUAGAUUCUCUUUUUACAAUCUAUUUUGAAAAGUUGUCAAGCUCGUCUGAGAGAACCUGUAACCUCUUCAGUUUAAAGUACUAAAAGACUUUUUGAAAAUUUUUCUAACUGACGUUUAUUAAUAUGCUAUCAACUUCAAUACAAGUUGGAGUUUUAACUACAUCCUAACAAAUAGAAACUUAAAAUAGCACAAUGGAGACUAACCUCCUACAAAUCAGCAUUUGAAAAUAAAUAAACAAAACAUAGUGGUAACGUCAUAAAACCCGUGUUCUUAGCCACUACAUAUUACUAAUGCAUAAAUACAUAAUCUACGCCACUACCCACUACUGAAUAACUAUCCACUGAUGCAAACUACCCAUUGUUGCAUCAGUGACGAAGAAUCUGUUGAAUUGGUGGUUUGCUAAUAGUUACCUACUGAAAUUCAAGCAUUUUUUUAAUGGCACAACAAUAUUCUUCCACCUUCUUCGAAACGAAGGGAUGGAAAGGAAUUCAUCAGGAUGAUUGAAAGACAAUUAUCAACGUUGAUACAAUACUGAGAGAUACUUCUGGCUUGACUUUUAGCAGCUGAACAGCACACAAGAGACAGAAAUGUUGUCGUAUUAUUGUAAACAAGUUCAAUGCCGUCCCUGAAUCAAUUCCAGAUUGGGUAUUUGAUUUAUGACUAUGAAAGGUGGAUAUUUCAUUGCGAAUUAGCAAGAAUGGGUUUUAGAUGGUUUGCUUUCGAUAAUUGUGUUUGCCAUAUUAUCUUCACUUGGAACUCAAGAGUCAAUCCAUAGCCAAUACAGGUGAGCAGUGCUCAGUUCAGUCCAGACUAAAAAUGAGUAAAAAGCUGAAUCUAAUAGGAAAUAAAAUCAAACCGAACAAAGAGAAAAAAUGAUCUCAACUGGUUUAGUUUGGUUUGGUUCAUCUGUUUUACUUUUUCUUAUCUAUUUGCAGAACCCAUUUUCCUUUAGAAAAGGAAAAAAAUUAUACAAUACUCCCUGUACACUAAAAAUUAGUACUCAUCCUCAUAAAAAAUUAGUUAUUCCUAAAAUAAAAAAAGUGCCCUUAUACAAUUGUGCUUGUGCAGCUGGAGCUGCUAAUAAUCUCUCUUAGAGAAGAUCCAAGCAACAAGAGAGCAGCAAUUUCAGCUUUCAACUUAAACAUAGAAUAUUGUGUAUGUCUAGUUCUAACAAACAGAGCAUGUCAGAUACUAUAGUUGUACACAUAAACGGCAAUCCAUCUUGUCAUUUUGAUUACGAUAUUUGAAUUUUUACAAGGAAAACAAACAAAACACAACGAAAAUCAAAACCGAAACAGCAGAACCUCAGCUCAAUAUCGCACACAAGACUCGAAGCGCAAAGAAAACUUGAGAAAUGAUUCAGAAAAUUGAAAGAAAAUCUGGGUAGAGAAGUGAAGCAAAUGAGGGAAAGAGUGUUGACAUUUUAAAGAUGCUACAAAGGAAUUGAGUGAAACCAGGAACAGCAAAGGGUAAUGAUCGAUGAAACAACUGAACUUGGAGAGCCACAGACAGAAAAUAUGAACACUGGAGCUGCUUGUGUCGUUGAUGGAGGUAGUCGAGUUCAGAGGCCGUACAAGUGGUCCUUCGAGAGAAGAUAUUGAGAAAGGGAAGGAGAAUUGUUUGAUUAUAUAUUCUCACUUCGUCACCAAGAAAAACAAACUAUCAGUAUAUAGAAAUGUAAGUUUGUUUCAUCAUCUAUCAAAGCAAAUCAAAGUAAAAGUACCUUUCUUUGGAGAAAGUAAUUGGAACAUAAAUAGACAUCUAAAACUCAGUUUUAUUUCCAUAUCCUCAGAAACCGGCUCAUCUAAUUAAUUCACUUAAACAAUUAAACAAACCCCUAAUAUAUUUAGAAGAAGAGAAAGACAAAGAAACCUCAAGCGCGCGUUUGUUCAAUUUGAGCUUCCUCAAGCUGUUAAUGGCGUGAAAAAUGUCACCUCGAUAAAUUGGAAAGCCUUCGCGCAUCCAGCUUUGAUAGGCUAAACCAACCGAUUCUCCUCUAGCAAGCUUCUCAAUUCUCAAAGAUAAGCUCUUGGGUGCUUCUUGUUCUUCUGGUUCUAAUAUCUUCUUCUCGGGCGAACAAUUGCUAGUGUAGGUACAGAGAAAAUCGAAAUUGCGAGGAAUUUGGUAGAGAGGCGGACAACUGAUAGAAAGUGUUCGAUGAAUUGCUUGACAGAACCAGCGUCGGCCCAGAACGGCCAGCGCACGCAUGCUUCUUGUCCUUUUCGGGACCUGAAAGCGCGCUUACGCAAAAGAGCCAGAGAUCUUAUUUGAAAAAAGAUGCCGCCACAUGCAAAUGCUAAGAGCCCAAAGUCUUGCCCAGAAGAGAAACCAAAAUUGACGCUUAGCUGCCUACAAUCCAGCCCAGAAGAGAAACCGAAAUUGAAGCUUAGCUGCCUACAAUCCAGCCCAAGUCCUUUUCUGGGAUAUUUUGUCCACGCCAUUAAUAUUUAUAUAAAUUAUUGAAAAUUAAUAUAUGGAUGCAAAGUUCAAUGGAAAUUUGGAAUUGCAUUCUGCUCCCUAAAUUUCAUUGUGGAUAGACAAUUUUUAUUUAUCCAUGAAUCACAAAUGGGUUUGAUAUUUAUUCUCAAAUUUCUUAACAUUUAAAUAUCAAAUUUGAGAUACUAUAAGCACUAAUUAUCUUGUUUUUUUUCUUUGUGAUAGUGAUGAAGAAUAAUAAUGCAAUCAAAACAGAAUCGUAUGCCAUCUUUUCCUUUUUGUAUGGACGUAAACCACAGAAAAUCAUUUUUUAUAUUGUUUCUCCAAGUCCUUUUAUUUAUUACAUUUCAGGUAAUUAAUUAGAAAAAUAUCAUCAAUGAAAUUUAAACUCUAAAAUUUUAAUUAUCAUCAUUGAUUAAACUCUAUUUGACAAUACUAAUUGAUAUAAUAAUUGUUAUUGUCAAUAUAAUUAUUUAGAUAAUAGUUAAUCAAAUAUUAGAAUAAAUAAAUUUUCACAAUUCAGUUUCUUAAUCACUGAUUAUUAAAUAUUAUUUUGAAAAUUAUCACCGAGCAAACGCUUGGAGUUGUACAAUGUGGUGUGUAGGAUACAUGAUUGGUUUUGUAAUUAAUCAACUCAACAAGGGAAGAUAAACUAAUGGGUAAAAAGGUCAUCAUUAAUUCCAAGAUUGCCCUCUGCUGAACAAAGCCAAAGAAUAAAAAUAUAAAAAAGUAGGUUGAUGUAAUGUAAAGUGGAAAAGAAAUUGCAUCGCUUUGUAAUCAAGAUUACAAUGACAAAGAAAAAUGAAUUAGUGGCCACAUUGGAUUAGUAGAAUUUAGGUCAAAUCUAAUUAAUGGCCAACUAAUUUUUUUUUAAAAAAAAAAAAAAAUCAAGAACCCUUGCCAAAAAAGCUUUCUGUAGUAGUCCUUCAUGAUUGCUCUUUUUAUAGGUUCAUGUUGCCCCCUUUCCCCAACUCAGUCCAAAAUUUUCUGCUCCUGUAGUUCAACCUAAAAUUUCUAUUUAUCCACCCUUUUUUUCAUUCAUUUAUUUUAAUACUCUAUUUUUUUUCGUUUCUCAUUUUAUUUAAUAAUUAUAAUUGAGAAUUUCAUUUAUGGGAUUUAUUGAUAAAAAAAUUUAAUAAAAACUUUUUAACUUGUAUGUUUUUUGGGUAAUGUUGUGCCUGUGCGAAUUGUGAAUUUAACUUUUCAUGAAAUUUUAUGUUAUUACAUUCUGUGGCUAUGUGUGCAUGUUAUUAAUAAACUUUAUAUAAAAAUUAAGAAAAUAAAUUAAUUUCAAGUUUCAACUUCAAUACAAAGUGAUAUUGAAAGUGAUAAUCGAUCAUUCAUCAGGAAAGGAAAAAGGAAUUUAUCCGUUAACAUUAAUAUCUGGCUCUAUAUAUCAUCGUGAAUUAAUAUGUAGGCAAUGAUUUGGAUUUGUUUAUCUAGUUUGAUAAUAUAUAUAUCUUGCAAAUAAAAAAAAAUCCCUGUGAACUACUUCCAAAAUUUAAACUCUAGAUAGGAGUAAAUGCAGUGCCAACUUAACUGAUUUUGGAGUGUUUGAAAUAUUGGGUAAAACAAUAAAACCUGAAUCGUGUUGAACACUGUCUUUAAAGAUUUAUUUUAUGAUCCCCCAGGAUUAAACAAGUUCUUCUGAAAUAUACUUCUCAGGAUUAGAACAACAAGAAUUUAUCUCGAAUUUAUAACCCAGCAGGUAACAUAGAGAAAAUAAAUAAUAAAGAAGAAAAUUGGGAGUUUAUAUCUUUGUAAAGAGGAACACUAUUUAUUGUGGAAAACUUGACCGCUAUAUAUGGUUAUAAGAAUCUUGAAAUAAAAUCAUAACGGUUAUAUUUAAUAUUAUAUUUAAAUCUCAUAAAUAAAAUAUUUAAUGACCAUAAAAUCUUUAAUUACCAUAAAAUAUUUAACGACCAUAAAAUCUUUAAUUACCAUAAAAUCUCUAAUGACUAUAAAAUCUUUAAUAACUAUAAAAUCUUUUUGAAAUCUAAACUAAUUUUACAACAAUCCCCCACAGAUUUCAAAAGAUUUUCAUUGCUGGAUUUAGAAAUUUAGAGUGUAUGUUUCGAAUCUGGUGUCUUUUAUACUAUGAACCAGACCUAAAUUAAUAAUACUUAAUAUACAGAGUAAUUGGUGAAACUUUUGUUUCUAUGUACCAAAACUCUUUUUUAUAUGUUAAUUUCUCAUCAAUCUCAUAAUACUCCACAGAUCUUGUUGUCAACGCCGUUUUGCACUAAUAGGCCAUGCGCGCGCCUGGUAAUUCAUAAGUGCUCUAGAGAUUAUGCCACAAUCUCAUAGAAGCGGCCCCACUCCACACUUAUAUAGGUGAUAUCAUCAAGUGUAUACUGCAAUUUAUACACCACCCACAAGGGAUAUGAAUAUCAUUAAAAGAUUUCAUCUCAUCCUCUCAUUAAUGCAGUCUAGUACUUCUCACACCAUAGAAAGGGACAACAAUAAAUAGUGCUAUCAGAAUUAGAAGGUGAUUUGUUAUUACCCAUAUGAACCUUUUUCAUGGGAUCUCUAAUCGCAAAGGUUGGGUUACCAUCACUGUUAAUUUCAAACUGGCUUAGGUCCCAUUCCUCUCGAUGUUUCAUCUAUUAGUUUUCUCUCUAAAGAUUUAGUCAGAGAAUUGGCCAAAUUCACUUCUGACUUCACAUAAUCAAUGAAAAUAGUUCCAUCUUUCAGUAACUGCUUAACAACAUUAUGUCUCAGACGAAUAUGUUUAUUCUUACCAUUGAAAGUUUUAUUCUUUGCAAUGGCUAUUGCCGCUUGACAAUCACAACGCAUUGAUAUAGAUGGUGUUGAUAAAAAAUUCACUAAAUGCAACAAACUCCCAAUGAUCUAUGCAUAUUCAGACUCCAAUUUUCUUUAAUUGACAAUUAGGAUCAUAAGGGGUAGUUACUGGUUUAACAUUGAAAUGUCCAAACUUCCUUAGAAGCUUCUCAACAUAAUGCUCUUAUGAUAGCAUUGGACUAUCAUUCUUCCUUACGAUUCUAACUCUCAAAAUCACAUUUGUCUAUCCCACAUCUUUCAUAUCAAAUUUAGAGGCAAUGAAAGUUUUUGAUUUACAACUAUAUCAUAAUUUGUACCAAAAGUAAAUGCAUAUGAACAAAUAAUCACAGAUUCAUAAUUUAUACGUUCUGUAUAUACGCACUUAUCAAUCAUUUAUACAUUUUGUAUAUACACACUUAUCAACUUCAACAGAGAUAAAACCAUCAUUCAACAAAACUUAAUCAAAUUUCUCAUGCCACUGUUUGGAAACUUGUUUUAAACCAUAUAAUGAUCUAAGAAGUUUGCAGACUUUAUUUUCUUAACAAAAAAUAAUACAAUCAUUAGGUUGAACCAUAUAAAUUUCUUCUUCCAAGUCUCCAUUUAAAAAUGUUUUAACAUCCAUUUGAUAAAUAACAAGUUUAUGCUUAAAACCUAAAGCAAUUAAUACUUUAAUAGAAGAGAUUAUGUUUCAGGAAGUUAAAACAAGUGUAUGUAUAGAAGCUAAAGCAAACUUAUGAACUUGAGUUUAUAGGUUUCAGCAUAACUUAUAAACAUGCAAUCAAAAGUUUUUGAACAUAUUUUUCAUUUCUUAGGAUCAGGAAGAAUUGCUUUAGCAAGACACCCCCACACUUUUAAAUAUUUUAAAUUAGGUGUAUAACCUUUCUAAAGUUCAUAGGGUAUUUUAUCGGUUUUCUUAUAGGGUAUCAUAGUUUGUAGAUAACAAGCAGAUAAUAAAACUUCCCCCAAAAGUUAUUAGGUGAAGAAUAACUUAUUAAUAAAACAUUCAUCAUUUCUUUUAAUAUUCUAAUUUUUCUUUCCACUACUCCAUUGGAUUCAAGUGAAUAGGGUGGAAUAAAUUCAUAUAUGUUUCAGGAAGCUAAAACAAGUGUAUGUAUAGAAGCUAAAGCAAACUUAUGAACUUGAGUUUAUAGGUUUCAGCAUAACUUAUAAACAUGCAAUCAAAAGUUUUUGAACAUAUUUUUCAUUUCUUAGGAUCAUGAAGAAUUGCUUUAGCAAGACACCCUCACACUUUUAAAUAUUUUAAAUUAGGUGUAUAACCUUUCUAAAGUUCAUAGGGUAUUUUAUCGGUUUUCUUAUAGGGUAUCAUAUUUUGUAGAUAACAAGCAGAUAAUAAAGCUUCCCCCAAAAGUUAUUAGGUGAAGAAUAACUUAUUAAUAAAGCAUUCAUCAUUUCUUUUAAUAUUCUAAUUUUUCUUUCCGCUACUCCAUUGGAUUCAAGUGAAUAGAGUGGAAUAAAUUCAUAAAUUAUUCCUUCUUUUUUCACAAAAGUCAUUAAAUAAGAUACAUUCUCCACCUCUAUAUGAUUUUUUUUUAAAUUUUAAUUUUCCUCUUUAAUUGAUUCUCUACUCCAACUUUACACAAUUGAAAUAUAUCAAAUGCUUCGUCUUUGUUUCUGAGCAAAUAUACUUUAGUAUAUCUAGAAUAGUCAUCAAUAAAAGUUACAUAAUAUAUAUAUAUAUUUUUUAUUAAUAUAAGAAGCACUAACAUGUCCUAAUCUAACAUGCCAUAAAUCAAAAGAAUCAAGCAAAAAAGCACAAGAUGAUGUAUUUCCAUUUAUUAUUGCAAAAAUAUUGAGAAUAAAGAGUCUCUGAUUACAAUAACAUUUUUCAAUAAAAAUAUCAUUUUUAGUCAGUAUAAUUUUGUCUAACUCAAAGGACACCUUAAUCUCAUCAUUUCUCAAUAGUGUUACAGAAAUUAAAUUAGCUCUCAUAUUGGAUACAUGAAGUACCUCAUUAAGUGCCAAUGUCUUGUCAGAUGUGAGUUUGAGAAAAACUUUCCCUUUACUAAGGACACUUGCAGUCCUAGACUCACCCAAAUACACAUGUUCUUUUCCUUCCCCCACUAUAAAGUAGGAGGUAAAUGCAUUUCUGUUUGUACAAAUAUGCCUAGUAGCACCAAAAUCUACUACCCAUUCUAGCACAUUAGCUACAAGAAAAGUUUGAGAAAUAACCGCAGCAACAAUGUCAUCUCCUUCAACUAAAUUCAUUUUUGGUUUAGGAGGAUUGUCAUUUAUCACUCUUUUCCUUUUAAAGAUGAGAUUAUUAAACUUGAGUUUAUAAUCAGAUUUCUUGUUUUCAUACCUGUUAUUUGAUUUGUGCACUUUUUCUUUGUACAAGAUUUGCUCUUGUAGCCAACAUCCUUAGCAGUAUAUUUCAAGUUCAUUGAAUCUCAUAUUUUUUCAUUGAAUCCCAUAUUUCAUUGAAUCUCAUAUUUUCUUGGCUUCCUUGUAGGAACAGUAGUUAUCAAAGAAAUGGUUAAAAAGAGUACUGAUAAUUGUAUACCUACAUACCUUAUUAGAAUAGACCCAUAUUUCAUGCAAUUUUGGAUCAACAGCAGGUACAUGUCUUGAUUCUCAAUUUUUGAGAUGUGAGGACAGUAGACAGAAGAGACCCACCAUUUGCAAAAGUAAGAAGCGUGGCGGCGGAAAGAACAACAGAAGUAGUGGUAGUUAUAAUGUCAUUGGAGUAGGCAGUGCAGAAGCAAAGGCAGUGACAACAUUUGAUUCCAUUUGUGUAAAGAUAAAUCCUUAAGAUUGUUGAAAAUAUUGGAUAAAACAAUAAAACCUGAGUCGUGUUGAACACUGUCCUUAAGAAUUUAUUUUGUAAUCCCCAAAAUUAAACAGGUUUUUCUGAAAUAUACUUUCCAAGAAUCAAGACAACAAAAAUUUAUCUGAUUUAUAAUCUAGCAGGUAACACAGAAAAAAAAAAUAAUAAAAAAAAAUUGAGAGUUUAUAUAUUUGUAAAGACGAAAAUUAUUUAUUAUGAAAAUUUAACCGCUAUAUAUGAUUAUAAAUAUUUUAAAAUAAAAUCAUAACGGUCAUAUUUAAUAUUAUAUUUAAAUUUCAUAAAUAAAAUAUUUAAUGAUAAUAAAAUUUUUAAUGAAUAUAAAAUAUUCAACAAUUAUAAAAUUUUUAAUUAUCUUAAAAUUUUGGACUAUCAUAAAAUCUUCUAAACUAAUUUGUUACUUCACGAGUUGGUAGACCAAAUCUAGAUUGUUUUUCAGUAGGUGUUUGGGAGACGUCAUCAUCACCUGCCUCCGGGGUUUCAAACUCAAGAUUGACAAAUAAACAGAGGUUUGCGCUUUUUUUGGGACUCAACCUAACAUGGGGAAGGGAGGAAAAUAGAAACCUGAUUAUCGGGGAUUCCACGCACUCUUCCGGUCAGUGGUAGGCAAGUUAGUUUAGAUGAAAUCAUAAUAAAAUCUUUAUCAUCAAAUCAAUAGCAUAAGUAGUUAUGAAACUCAACAAAUUGAAGUCGAUUAUAACAGAUAAUUAUAGAAAAGAACGAAAGAGGAGGUGGGAAAAGUAGAUCAUAUUUAAGUUAAAAGGAGUUAUAACCAUAGACAACAACACUAAUCGAGUUCCCCUUCCAAAAGUACACAGAAGACCAAGUUAAGACCAGCAAAGCAGAAACACUUAACACAUAAAACAAGCCAUUCAGGAAAUUAAAUCCUCAUACAAGGAUUUUGAUUACCUAUGGCUGUUUUAUUUACAGCAGCAAGCCGACAACUAUUUUACAUAUUCAUUAACAAACCCUUUUGCAUCCGUUUUUUUGGGGAUUUAUUAAAAACAUCAAGUACAGGCUUUGCUAGGUCCAUGUCCAUGCUGCUUUCUCAUUUGCAGUUGCAUGGAUCACAGCUGCAGCUUGAUCCACACUUGCACCCAUUUCCACUCUCAGCACCAAAGUUCAUCUCAGUACCCUCAUAGGACCUGCAAAAACCACACUAGCUCUCAAUUCUUUGUACAAUCAAGAAUCUAACUUCGAUUUAGCUGCGCAAAUAGAAUUAUAGAAUUUCUCCGAACUCAAUUAAGGUCUCAAAUUCAAACCCAAAAUGAUUGUGAGUCUUACAUCUUAGGAGGUGCAACUCCUGCGAUGAGAGUCUCAGUUCUGGUGUUCUCUGAGAUGUCAGGGUACAUGCCACAGCUGCAAGAAUUCAAGAAGAUGAGGAAAGAAAGAUUGGAGAGAAAAUCUUAGGAAGUUUGUUUGGUGUAUGAGAAACAAUUUUCCAAGAAAAAGAAACUCUUACCCGUUGCAGCCGCUGCCGCACUUGCAUCCAGAGCCACAGCCACAGUUUCCUCCGCAGCAAGACAUUUUCUUAGGGAUUUGGAAGAGGCUUAUCACUUGGCAAUUGAUUUCUUCAACUAUAGGAUGAAUCAUAAGGCGCUUGCCUCAGCUCCAAUUUAUACUGCAGUUGGAGCUGAAAGUCUUUCAUAUCCACCAUACACGUGGAAACAUCUAACGUCAGUAACAUCUGUGUGGCAGGUUCUAUCUCCCCUAGGUAAGAACCGACAAAUCUCUCUCUAUCUCUCUCUAACCUUUCUUUCUUUGUCAUCACAAAUCAUAAUAUUUGAAAUAUAUUAAUUAUCUUAACAAAAUCAAUUAAUUGGCUUCUUCUAAACAAAAUCUUAACACCUCUCGCGUUUGAACAAAAUAAAAAAAAUGAUUUCUUUUAUAACUUUUAAUUUAUAUUAAUAUGCUUGCCAACGCUUCAAAUUGAAUAUAUAAUAUAGUUAAAACGAAUCCAACAUUUAAAAAUAAAAUUCCAUUUCAAAAAAAAUAAAAAAAUAAAAUAAAAUUAACAGCAAACAGAAAUUAAUUUAGGGUCAAGGAAUUAAUGCUUAUUAAAAAAGAAGUCUUACUUUUUUCCAGUAGACAAAGUUGUCUGAAUCAUAGAGAAAAGGAUGCAAUUAUUUUCUACAAGGAUUAUUAUCACUUUCAUGGGAGAAAUCAAGAGAACAAGUUAAAUUGAAGCCGACAAUUAGAAUAUAUUAUUGUUUUUGAUAACGUCGAACCAUUUUUAAAUUAAAUAAAUAAUUUCUCAAUUGAAAUAAGAAUAAAAUAAAAAUAUGUAUGAAUGAUGUAAACGUCAGCUAGAUAUUAAGGCAUAAUCUUGCAGCUUUUUACAUUAGCAAUUCACUCGCUUGAAUGUAUCAUUUCAUCCUUAACAUUGGCUUUUUAUAAUUCUGUAAUCUAGAUCUUUUUUUUUAAUUAAAUAUAAAGAAUGCAAAUUAUUACCUUUUUUUUUUCUAGUUAAUCAUGUUAUGUUGUUUUAAUUUUUUUGAAUGUAAUGAAAGCAUGCAGUUCUAAACUAGAAUGAAACAAUACAAUUUUUGACAUGGAAAGUGAGAGAGAGUUACCCUACCCUACCCUACUGCUACAGAGAAAGAAGGAUAAAAUCAUAAUGAAAUGGGCAGAGAAUAAGAGGCUUUUGCUUUGGGAAUCCUUCACUUUUGUAGCAAAAAGAGUGGUGCAUGUGAUAUAGCUUUGGUGCUUGAGUUGCAGUACUAUUUACUUCAAUCAGAUACCCUGUCUUUAUAUCUAUAUCUAUGUAUAUAUUUUUUUACAAAAAAUCUGCCUUUUUCACCCCAAGCCCAAUGCACUUUUCUUAUCUUCUUUUAUUUGUUUAACAUUUAGGACCUUCAGUUCCUUUUCAGAAGAUCUGUCUCGGCAAUUUGCGACUUGUGGAUGCUGCAGCUGCUGGGGUCCAAAAUGUCUUAACUGAGCUAAAGACAUGCUUAAAAGCUAAAACUACAACUAUUAGUAGAGCUAGAGCCUAGUUUUCAUGGAUAGUGCACAACUCCAGUUUGGUGGGCCUUGAAUUUCCUGUGUCCUUUGAAUGUGUGAAUUGUUCUCUUCCUAACUUCAACAUCUUGUCUACAUUCCUUUUUUUUUCCCCUCGUCAAUGAAGGGAUUAUUUUAUUUACAAGAUAUUUAUUGCGUGUUCCCACUAGCUUCAUAAUUCAUCAUUAUUUUGAUCCUCAAAUUCAAAAAGUACCUGUAUUGAAGUAUGAAGAUAGAAGAUAGGAUCUUCCAUAUCUGGGUACAAGCUCCAUCGUUUAGAUAAGGGACUCAUGACGAAACCCACUAUUGUUGAUUCCUCUGCCGCAUUUGUUUUAUGCAAUUCACAUGCAUCAUGCAUGCCCAUCUGAUUUUGGACCACAUACCAGGACAAAAAGAAGUGCAUGAUAGGACUGGUAGCUCAAGAGAGCUGCCACCAUUGAAUUGGGUCUUCACUCUCACCCAUGUGAAUAUUUAUGAAUGACCUACAUAUAACGAUUGUGACGAGAGAGGGAGUUUGUCUUUAAUCAACAAAAUAGUGAAUGAGCUUCAUGCUUGAGGUCCUAAGGUAUUAAAAUCCCACUUUUUUUUCGAAGACAUUUGAAUCCCAUUUCAUGCAUUACUGGGACAUUCGAUCUAAUGUCAGGUCUGAUGCUGCUGAGAAGGUUUGGCCGGUAAGGAGCUUAAGAUUAGAUAGAUGUUAUGCUGACGUGCAUUUCAGAUUUCCAUGAUUGAGAUGCAGGUAAUGGGUUGAAAGGACACAGGACUCAAAUGCUGACAACCGGUGGUCGAGUCCUUUUCAACGCAAAUGAAAAAUCAGAUGCUCAUAUGGUCCGCCCACCCCCCUAAAAAAAAGAGAAGAUGGCCCCAUUCAGACAAAUGACAGCUAUUUUAAAUGGUCCAUCAAAUCUCAGAUCAGAGCGUUUAGUGGAAAUGUACCACCGGUGAGGCACCAGCUAAUUUAUCACCACUUCAAGAAAAAUAUGAUUAAAAACAACAGAAAUAAGGUAAAUGCACGUACAAAUGCUCAAGUCAAAUGAACCAAAACAGUCCCGAGACGUUCCACCUUUCUCGUUGAAAUAAAAAAGACACGGCAAGUCGGCAACGCAUGCACGCAGCAUUCAAAGAACUUCCACCAGUGUAACAAGUAUCUGGAGGUGGUAGUAGGUAACUCCAAUAGGAUUGAUCUCAAUUAGAUAUUAUGGGGCCUGCAGUUAAAUAAAUCAUACAAAGAAACAUGUCAGUUACAUCUAAAAUUUCUAAAAUUCUUGACAAGGGGCACCCAUUGCAGAGGCCCCUUCAAUAGCCAACUGCUUAUCCGGCAAUUCCUGCACAAGCUUAGUUUUCAAGAUGCCCUAGGUGCCACAUGAAACUCGAUAUGAUGGGCAUAAAUUUUUUGUAAAACCUAUCAUAAACAGAACUAGUAUUCCUAUCAAAUUUGUCAUGAACAGUCGAUUUUAUCUAAACUAAGUCUCUGCAAUUUCACACUAUCCAUAAGCAUCCUAAGACCAGCUUUUAGUUCUGGUACCCCUUCCUCCAAGACAGCACAAACUGGAUAUAUAGGAACAUCUUGAACUCUUCUUUUCAAUUCUUCAUAUACUUCAUCAGCUCCUGCCUCAUCAAUUUUAUUCGCCACAACUAAGGAGGGCCGAUCAGACAGGCCCUCUUGAUGAUGCUCAAGCUCCAAAACUAAAUCUUUCAAUUGUUCCCACGGUGGAAAUCCCUUUCUGCCAUCUAAUCCAGCAGCCAAGUCUAGCACAUAAGCUAAAACCUUAGUACGUUCUAUGUGCCGUAGGAAAGCAUGUCCAAGUCCACGAUUCUCGUGAGCACCUUUUAUGAGUCCUGGAAUGUCAGCCACUGUGAUUGAGAAGUCAUCAAACUUCAGUUUUCCUAAAUUUGGCCUAAGAGUCGUGAAGGCAUAAUGACCCACCCUAGGUUUUGCUCUGGAUAAAGCUCCUAAAAGAGUACUUUUACCAGCAUUUGGCAUUCCAACGAGGCCCACAUCAGCAAUGCUUUUCAGUUCCAGCAAAAGAACAGCCUCUGAGCCAGGCAACCCACUGCUAAGGCAGGAUUGAUCCUCACUGGACAUAUCAGGAUCCAAGACUAUAUCCCUAUUGACUCCAGGCUUACUUAACUUGGCCUUCUUUGAAACAUCAGGAGAAGACACAUUACCCAAACCACCCUCCCCUCCACGAGCAACAAUUAUUUGCUGACCCAGAUUUGUUAACUCUGCAACAUCAUAGUGUAUAUGUUCCACAUCUGCUGGCUCUCUUUGAAUGGCUUGUAUGCUUGCAAAUUCCUCUGAAGUUCCUUUAGCUUGUGUUAAUGAGCCACCAGAAAUAUCCGAUGGCUCAGCUUCUUUUUCCAUGUUUGUGCUCUUAGAGAUGGACUGCCAGUGAGAUUCUGAUUGAUCGGUAUGGAGAGUGCCUGGAAGUUCCCACGGGUCCAAGUCUGUUUUGGAACAGUUUUGGACUGUAGAUGGAAGUUCACCCUUCAAAAGAUGAAUUACAGUGCCGAUAGGUACUUGCACAACCUACUAUACACGAGUACUCAUGGUUAGAUAAACUGCCAAACAACAGGUGGCAUCAUAAAAUCUUGCCGUUUAUAGAACUUAUAAAUAGUAACCUUAUCCUCCCCUCGAGUUCCUAUCAUACUCUUUGAAGCUCCAUUCCCCCCUCUCACUGCAUUCUAUACAAUAAAGGCAGAACUUGAGUGUCCUCAUGCAAUAAUACUAGUAGUGUUGAAAAAAUACUGGAAAGGUAAGGACUACAUACAACAUGAUGGUGUAAACCACUAAAGUCCCAGAUUGCAGGGGAACACUCUAAAAUCACAUCACCACCUCUUCCACCAUUUCCACCUGUAUUAUUGAAUCCACAUGAACCAGAAUGCUACCAUAAAGACUGUUUCACAAAUUUUAAUGCACUUGCUCUUAAUCACCAUGCAAUAAUCAGCUACAUUUAUGAAGUUCAACGGAAAUAAUUACGAUGAAAGGGAAAAAAUUGAACCCAGUAUGAAGAUUGAGAAACUAGAUAAAUUAUGAUCAAAGAAAAAUAACCAUGAUAAUAUUGUAUCCACUUGGUUUAUAGUAUCACAUCUAUCAUACUUAAUGCUGUUAUAAAACUUGAUCUAAUAAACAUACCAUCAGGUCUGCCACGGCGAUCAUGUCGACUUCGGCGAAAACUGGAGCAACCAUUGCCACCAUCACCUCCCUUAGCAUGUAGUGUAAACCUAUCUCUCAUACUGGUUUCCUACAAAUAGCCCCCUAAUAAUCCUUUACUAAGAUGAACAAGUAGUAAAAAAAAUCAAGAAAUGAUUACACAGAAUUAUGUGAAGCUAUUAGGGUUAUAAAAAUGUGAGAAAUAGGGAAGAAACAAAUAGAGUGGCAGACCUGCAAAGGGGCACACUUUGCUUUUGUGUGAGUAGCGUCUGAACAAGAGAACAAAGACAAAUAGAUCCAUGGAGAUUUAGAAGAUUUUCUCAAGGCAUCUAUGUGGCAAAAGGAUUUUGCGCCGCGUAACCACAUCAUUCUCUCUUUCCUGUCUAGAUAUCCUUCAAAUCCUCCUCAAAUGGAAAAAGUUGGCAUUCAAUUUUUUGCUUAUCUCAGCAACCUAUAGAAAGAAAUAUCUUAGAUACUGAACCAGCAACAGAGACAUUCCUGGAAAAUUGUAAACCAAACCAUGCCACAAUGCAGAUGCUGAACAUGACCCAUACAAGAUAACUAAAGAAAUUGAUAUUUACAGCACUUCACAGCCAGUUCCAACAAAAAGAAUCCGCCUUCCUUUAUUAUAACAUGUCCAGAUAAUCAUAAAAACACAAUAAGCAUCACUUUUAACAAUCACAUUUACCAAAAUUUGCUAAAUUGUCAGUUGCAAGCAAAGUAAAAGCUUUAGUAAGCCCAACGACUUGUGCCAUAAACAGACCAACAAUUGAAACAAUAUGCUAGAAAGGAAUUUGAGAUAACCAAAUAAAAGAUGAAAUAAUCAGGAAUGAGCACAUACAGGCAUCUAAAGGAAACAGACAUUCAAAACAUUCAUCAAAUCAACAAUCAACAAGAAAUUGAAUUUUAACAACAGAGAGUGGAGAAGGCUAAUAUGGUGUAUUUAACACAAAAUGAAAGAAACUAAAAGACCAAAUUGAUUGAACUUACAUUCAUCUAAAACCCUUGAAUAAAACUUUCUUUCAGUUUACAGAAAAAAAAAAUUGUUUAGUGAUAAUGAAAACUAAUGGGGUCAAAGGAAAAUGUCCAUUGUUAAAAGAAUUGAACCCAUUCAUAGGAUUCCACACCAGGCCUUGGAAGGAGUCUCCUUGGCCAUGGUUCUAACAUUAAUGACCAUUCUAAUGCCACCAAUGAGCUUUGGUUUGAUAUUAGGGUAAUCAGCUUGAAACAUAAAAAAAAGGAAGAAAGAAAUAACCAUUCUAAUGCCGUAGGGAGCCAGAGAUUUUAUGGUUACUGUUAGGAUCCCGUGUAGGAUCUAGUUGUGGGUUGUGUAACGAGUCUUUUGGCAAGAUAGGAGAAAAUAAGGAUGGAUUUUCUUUUUGAGAUCUAUUUUGAAAAGCUGUCAGGCUUAUUAGGGAGAACAUAUAAUCUCUUGAAUUUAAAGUAUUCAAAAACUUUUUUGAAAUUCUUUUAGCUAACGUUUAUUAACCUGCUGUCAACUUAAAUACAAGUUGGACCCCCCUAAAAAAUAAGAACUUAAAAUAGCAUAAUAGAGGCUAACUUCCUACAAAUCAGAAUUUGAAAAUAACUAAACAAAAUAUGCAAAGAACUAAAUAACUAAACAAAAUAUGAUGAUAACAUCAUAAGACCCAUGAUCUUAGCCACUAUCCAUUACUAUGCAUAAACUCAUAAUCUAUGCCACUAUCCAUUGUUGAAUAACUAUCCAUUAUUGCAUCAAUGACGAAGAAUCAGUUGAAAUGGUGGUUUGCUAACAUUAGUCCCCUCUUCCACUAUGCACUUGUCUUCAAGUGCAAGCUUAGGAAAUUUCUAGGAACUAUUUAGCCAGUGGCUGGUCCAUUGUGACAUCUCCUGGUCAUCAUUUGCUAACUCCAACUAACUCCAACCAGAAUAGUUUUUUGCACCCGUUUUUGAAAUAUUCCCAUGUCAAGUUCGGAUAGUCUUGUAACAAUUGUAGGAACUAUAGUUGUGUUAUACCCUCCAAGUGAAAUGAAGCUAGAUUAACCUUCUUCUCUUCUGAAGUUUGUUAAUGUUGGAAAAAAUGAUCAUAUCUGUUGAGCCACCCUAAAGGAUCCUCCCAUCCAUUGAAACAGGUAAAUUUUGAAACAAUGGUACUUCUACUUGAAUUUUCAGAACCUAUUACUCCUUUGGCCUUUUGGGUGCGAGAGUGACUACCAAUUUUUGUGAGUUGUGCUGAAUUGACAAUAUCACAAGUGAGAGCUUCUAAUUUUUAAUUUAAUUCAUCAUGCCAGGCCUUAUUGGCUGCUUGCUCUUCUAAGAACAAGGUGAGAAUUCUGCCUAAUUGUUGCUGGAUAGAGUCCCCAUAAUCUCUAGCUCUGAUACCAAAUUGUUAGGAUCGCAUGUGUAGAAUCUAGUUAUAGGUUUGCAUGAUGAGUCUUUUAGCAAGAUAGGAGAAAGCAAGGAUAGAUUCUCUUUUUACAAUCUAUUUUGAAAAGUUGUCAAGCUCGUCUGAGAGAACCUGUAACCUCUUCUGUUUAUUCUCAAAGACUUUUUGAAAAUUUUUCUUAACUAACGUUUAUUAAUAUGCUAUCAACUUAAAUACAAGUUGGAGUUUUAACUACCUUCUAACAAAUAGAAACUUAAAAUAGCACAAUGGAGACUAACCUCCUACAAAUCAGCAUUUGAAAAUAACUAAACAAAACAUAGUGGUAACGUCAGAAAACCCGUGUUCUUAGCCACUACCUAUUACUAAUGCAUAAAUCCAUAAUCUACGCCACUACCCACUACUGAAUAACUAUCUACUGAUGCAAACUACCCAUUGUUGCAUCAGUGACGAAGAAUCUGUUGAAUUGGUGGUUUGCUAAUAGUUACCUACUGAAAUUCAAGCAUUUUUUUAAUGGCACAACAAUGUUCUUCCACCUUCUUCGAAACCAAGGGAUGGAAAGGAAUUCAUCAUGAUGAUUGAAAGACAAUUAUCAACGUUGAUACAAUACUCAGAGAUACUUCUGGCUUGACUUUUAGCAGCUGAGCAGCACACAAAAGACAGGAAUGUUGUCGUAUUAUUGUAAACAAGUUCAAUUCCAUCCGUGAAUCAAUUCUAGAUUGGGUAUUUGAUUUAUGACUAUAAAGGUGGAUAUUUCAUUGCGAAUUAGCAAGAAUGGGUUUUAGAUGGUUUGCUUUCAGUAAUUGUGUUUGCCAUAUUAUCUUCACUCGGAACUCAAGAGUCAGUCCAUAGCCAAUACAGGUAAGCAGUGCUCAGUUCAGUCCAGACUAAAAAUGAGUAAAAAGCUGAAUCUAAUAGAAAAUAAAAUCAAACCUAACAAAGUGAAAAAAUUAUCUCAACUGGUUUAGUUUGGUUUGGUUCAUCUGUUUUACUUUUUCUUAUCUAUUUGCAGAACCCAUUUUCCUUUAGAAAAGGAAAAAAAUUAUACAAUACUCCCUGUACACUAAAAAUUAGUACUCAUCCUCAUAAAAAAUUAGUUAUUUCUAAAAUAAAAAAGUGGCCUUAUAUAAUUGUGCUUGUGCAGCUGGAGCUGUUAAUAAUCUCUCUUAGAGAAGAUCCAAGCAACAAAAUAGCAGCAAUUUCAGCUUUCAACUUAAACAUAGAAUACUGUCUAUGUCUAGUUCUAACUGAGCUCAGAACAGAGCAUGUCAGAUACUAUAGUUGUACACAUAAACAGCAAUCCAUCUUGUCAUUUUGAUUACGAUAUUUGAAUUUUUACAAGGAAAACAAACAAAACACAGCGAAAAUCUAAACCGAAACAGCAGAACCUCAGCUCAAUAUCGCACACAAGACUCGAAGCUCAAAGAAAACUUGAGAAAUGAUUCAGAAAAUUGAAAGAAAAUCUGGGUAGAGAAGUGAAGCAAAUGAGGAAAAGAGUGUUGUCAUUUUAAAGAUGCCACAAAGGAAUUGAGUGAAACCAGAAACAACAAAGGGAAAUGAUCGAUGAAACAACUGAACUUGGAGAGCCACAGGCAGAAAAUAUGAACACUGGAGCUGCUUGUGUCGUUGAUGGAGGUAGUCGAGUUCAGAGGCCGAACAAGUGGUCGUUCGAGAGAAGAUAUUGAGAAAGGGAAGGACAAUUGUUUGAGCACUAGAACGAGGAGACUGCAAUAUCGUCGAGGGGAGAGAUGGAGGGAAGGUUGCAGGGCAGCGGCUUGGUGCAAUCAGUUGAGUUCCUUAUUUUUAUAGACCAAUCGAAGUAAUAAGUACAAACUAGAGAAAUUUUACUUUUUUGGUUUGCAUUAAUCCGCUAGAAGUGAGCUUCAUCUGUUCUGCACUCCUAUAAUAACUGUAUAAUUAUAAUUGGUGUAAUGAUUCACUCAUUAGCAAAACCCUUUAAUCGAUUAAUUAACUAAACCAAGUCUAGCUGUCUAGGAACAAAAAAAAAUCCAAUAUUUUGCAAAUUGAAAACUUAUUAUGAUCAUAAAAUAUCAUAAGGCACGAAAUUGUAUCCAAGUAUACCAGACCAGAGGCA